RNAcentral lists this long non-coding RNA (377 nucleotides) under Salvia miltiorrhiza (redroot sage). Its description in RNAcentral is "long non-coding RNA (SMIL_LNC003928)". Lineage: Eukaryota; Viridiplantae; Streptophyta; Magnoliopsida; Lamiales; Lamiaceae. The record is from RNAcentral.
CGGCACGAGUUUUAAGAAAUUGGUAUUUUGUGUGUUAAGUGUGGUAGGUGUAAAAGUGAAAAGUUAAAUAAAGAUUAAUUUUUUAGCCAUAUAAGGAAACUGGUCAAGCUUCGUGAGACAAACCAAAAAGGAAACUUGAUGAUGCUUCGAGGGACGAAUGAACAUGAUUUAUUCUAAUGUGUGCUUCUCAUCAUAAUUAUUAUUUAAAAAAAAAAGAAAAAAAAAUACACACACGCAUACAACAUACUUAUGUAAUUAUCCAUGGUGUAUAUAAGCCAAUAUCAAACUGGUUACGUAAUUCUCAAAAAAAAAAAAAAAAAAAAAAAGUUAUGUAGGACCAAUGAAACCAUAAACUAACAUACUAACAUUAAAAUAAC